Molecule: long non-coding RNA, 957 nt
Filed under: Manihot esculenta (cassava)
Lineage: Eukaryota; Viridiplantae; Streptophyta; Magnoliopsida; Malpighiales; Euphorbiaceae
Description: long non-coding RNA (MESC_LNC004474)
Source: RNAcentral
UUCAAUGUGUAUAUACUUUAAGGGUUUACCAAUUCGAAUAAUUAAAAUUCAAUUUCAAAAAAAAAAUGAAGGGAGAAGGGAGAUGAGAGAAGAGAGAAGAGAGAAAAAGCAAAGAAAAGCCCGCAGAGAGUUAACGGAGCAUUAGAGUUGAAGGUAGGGUUCAAGAUUUGAUUUGUCGAUCUUUUUCUAGUUGCUUCUAUUUUCUUUUGUUUUUACUUUCGAGUAAGGGCAAGAGGUUUUCUUUUGACGUCGUUGUCUGUCCUGGUUCUCUCUCACGGAGGAUGGACAGGCUGGUGUUUUUCUUUUUGUUGUUGUUUUGUUUUAUUGUUUUGUUUUGUUCUCUUGGUUUCUAGAUCAUCGGUAUUGGAUUUUGUGAGGGAGUUUAUUAUCAAAGAAUUUAUUACUCGAGAUUUCGACUCUAGCUUCCGAUGGAAAUGAUAGCUCUGUUCGUGAUGUCGUCACCUCAGGACUGCACCGAUAUGUCCGAUAGUCAACACUCCCAUCGGCCUUUCUCGGUUGGACUCUGCGACGUCUCCUUCCUUGGUUCGCUUCAGUCGGUGGACUAAUCCUACUUUUGAAAGCCUAUUACUUAUUUGUGUGUGUUGCAUGCUUGUUGCCUAUGCUUAUAUGAUGUUGUGUGCUUUCUGCAAUGGUAUUUGUGUACGCCCGCCGCCGUUUGUAUUUUCUUUUUGUGUAUUUCUUGUUCGCUCCGGUCCAACUGCAGCUGCAGCACUUAAAAACCAUGUUGAUCAAUCGGUAUAUAUCCAUAGAAUCAAUGGACUCGGUGCUGAAAACGCAUAUGGUUGGGUGGCUUGGUUUUGAUUUUGUUUAGUUCUUAUUCUGGUUUGUGCCUGAUUUAAUUUCUAGUUUAAUUUUUUUCUGUUUUGGGUUUUUAUUUUCUGUAACUCCUCUUGUAUAGCUCUAUAAACCUUGCACAAAUGUAAUAUAUUUCCGUUG